AACAAAAAUCCAGUAAAAGAUAGAAACUAGAUGAUGGAUAUAUAAU
This 46-nucleotide non-coding RNA is filed under the name Trypanosoma brucei brucei. The record is from RNAcentral. Lineage: Eukaryota; Euglenozoa; Kinetoplastea; Trypanosomatida; Trypanosomatidae.